AGAUGGUUUCGGCUAUCACUUACAGAUGGGCCCGCGGUGCAUUAGCUAGUUGGUGAGGUAACGGCUCACCAAGGCAACGAUGCAUAGCCGACCUGAGAGGGUGAUCGGCCACACUGGGACUGAGACACGGCCCAGACUCCUACGGGAGGCAGCAGUAGGGAAUCUUCCGCAAUGGACGAAAGUCUGACGGAGCAACGCCGCGUGAGUGAUGAAGGCUUUCGGGUCGUAAAACUCUGUUGUUAGGGAAGAACAAGUACAAGAGUAACUGCUUGUACCUUGACGGUACCUAACCAGAAAGCCACGGCUAACUACGUGCCAGCAGCCGCGGUAAUACGUAGGUGGCAAGCGUUAUCCGGAAUUAUUGGGCGUAAAGCGCGCGCAGGCGGUUUCUUAAGUCUGAUGUGAAAGCCCACGGCUCAACCGUGGAGGGUCAUUGGAAACUGGGGAACAUUGAGUGCAGAA
RNAcentral lists this ribosomal RNA (462 nucleotides) under Priestia flexa. Its description in RNAcentral is "bacterial SSU rRNA". It matches the Rfam family "Bacterial small subunit ribosomal RNA", at positions 202 to 653 of the family's 1533-position model. Lineage: Bacteria; Bacillati; Bacillota; Bacilli; Caryophanales; Bacillaceae. The record is from RNAcentral.